AAUGACUAACCUAGAGCCUGAUCUCAUCAGAUCUCAGAAGCUAAGCAGAGCAUGGCCUGGGAAUACCGGGUGUGACAUUGGGGGGCCCCAGUGGCAUUU
This 99-nucleotide ribosomal RNA is filed under the name Periophthalmus magnuspinnatus. The record is from RNAcentral. Lineage: Eukaryota; Metazoa; Chordata; Actinopteri; Gobiiformes; Gobiidae.